RNAcentral lists this ribosomal RNA (253 nucleotides) under uncultured bacterium. RNAcentral's name for it is "partial 16S ribosomal RNA". It matches the Rfam family "Bacterial small subunit ribosomal RNA", at positions 524 to 776 of the family's 1533-position model. The record is from RNAcentral.
UACGUAGGGUGCGAGCGUUAAUCGGAAUUACUGGGCGUAAAGCGUGCGCAGGCGGUCUUGUAAGACAGUCGUGAAAGCCCCGGGCUUAACCUGGGAACUGCGAUUGUGACUGCAAGGCUAGAGUGUGUCAGAGGGGGGUGGAAUUCCACGUGUAGCAGUGAAAUGCGUAGAGAUGUGGAGGAACACCGAUGGCGAAGGCAGCCCCCUGGGAUAACACUGACGCUCAUGCACGAAAGCGUGGGGAGCAAACAGG